UCUCUCACUCGCGCCGCUCCUUCUCUUCCUCCCACGCCGCCUCCCUCUCUCCCUCAAAACCCUAACCCGCGCCGCCUCCCUGCCCCGCCGCCGGCCGCCGCCGCCGCUCACUCGGGCACCCAUCCACGACCUCACACCGCCCCUCUCCUCUUCCUCCCGCCUCACCUCUCUCUCUCCUUCCAAACCCUAGACCACCUCCCUGCCCCGUCCCCGUCGCCGAGGAGGAGCUCGCGCUCGGGGAGGACGAGGAGACGGCCGCCUCCAUGGAGCAGCAGAAGGAGGAGGGGCACGCGGCGGCGGCGACCAAGAGGCGCAUGGCGCAGCCGACCAAGAAGGCCGGGAACAUGGCCACCGGCGACAAGGAGCCCGAGUUCCUCGACGAGCCGUAGGAUCUGAGGUCAGCCCACUCCCUUGCCUUCUCUUGCUUGUACGCCGCAGCCUGUGAGUGCCAGGAAGAUGAGGAGGAGGCAGAGAGGGAGAUGGUUCCGUUUGUUUACCCGUCUUUUAUAAGUUUGAGAUCUCGUUGUUGUUGUUGAUGGUGGCAUGGUGGCGCACAAUAUCUUUCAGAAAAAGAAGAAACUUCUCAGAAUUCAAGUGUUAUCUGUGAAUGGAGAGACAAAAAACUGUAAUGAAGGAGAUAACUCAUGGUGCCUGUAACUAUCUCCUAAAACCCGCUCGCAUCGAGGAGCUUUGGAAUAUCUGGCAGCAUGUUGUUUGGUCUGUUGAACUAUAUAGAAAAUUCAUCUCUGCUCUCAACCAUCUUGGAAUUGACAAAGGUGUGCCAAAAAGGAUACUAAUGUUGAGAAACUCACUAGGGAAAAUGUUGCAAGUCGUCUACAGGCAAG
Triticum aestivum (bread wheat) is the source of this 845-nucleotide long non-coding RNA. RefSeq lists it as uncharacterized. Lineage: Eukaryota; Viridiplantae; Streptophyta; Magnoliopsida; Poales; Poaceae. The record is from RefSeq and is a predicted model, not a curated record. The transcript is spliced from 3 exons.